This is a long non-coding RNA of Oncorhynchus keta (chum salmon), 1636 nucleotides long. RefSeq lists it as uncharacterized. NCBI's taxonomy places the organism in Eukaryota, Metazoa, Chordata, Actinopteri, Salmoniformes, Salmonidae. The record is from RefSeq and is a predicted model, not a curated record. The transcript has 3 exons.
ACAAAAUCAAGGUGGAAUCAGGAAUUCCCCAGGGCAGCUGUUUGGCACCUUCUUUUUUCAAUCUUUACCAACAACAUGCCAAUGACAUUUGAGUAAAGCCAGUGAGUCUAUGUAUGUGGAUGACUCAACACUGUACACGUCAGCUACUACAGCGACUGAAAUGACUGCAACACUUAACAUAGAGCUGCAGUUAGUUUCAGAAUGGGUGUCAAGGAAUAAGUUAGUCCUCUAAAUAUUUCCAAAACUUAAAAGCGUUUUUAUUUUGGACAAAUCACUCACUAAACCCUUAAACCUCAACUACCUCUCGUAUUGAGUAAUGAGUCAUGUGGAAAUUGAGCAAGUUGAGCUGACUAAACUGCUUGUAGCGUGAAACUGAAACAGUAACUCAGGCCACUUUAAUAAUGUUUACAUAUCUUACAUUACUCCCUCUAUCACAUGUAUCACAUGAUAUAUACUGCAUUUUAUACCACCGGUGAGGAAGAGUCAAAGCAGAGCAACCAGGAAGUAAUUACCACUAGGAAACCAGUAGGCGGCGCAGUAACUCACUGCUCUCUGACAUCUUGUCAAUUAUAUCAUCUUUGUCAAGUCAGGAAGUAAUUACCGCCUGUUGAUGAAGCGUCCUAGCAUAGCAGAGCAACCAGGAAGUAAUUACCACUAGGAAACCAGUAGGCGGCGCAGUAACUCACUGCUCUCUGACAUCUUGUCAAUUAUAUCAUCUUUGUCAAGUCAGGAAGUAAUUGCCGCUGGUAACAAUAUGAUUGUCGGCCAUGUUUUCUCGAGUUAUAUGCAGCUUCGUGUGUCUUGUGUCCUCUGUAGCUGAGCCCACAUUUACCAACAACUUUAACUACAUCCAUCACACGUUCCGUGACCUGCCUGCCUCCUCUUUCUGACCUGGUCUCGUUGAACUGACAUUAUCACUCAGAAGGGUACGGAUGUCUGCUCUGCUCUGAGGGAAAAAGGCUUCUGUCCUUUCUCUAUGGGUCUUCUCUCAUGUUCCUGUCCUCUCUGAUGGGCGUGUUUCCAGGCCUCCUUUCUCUAUGGGUCUUCUCUCAUGUUCCUGUCUCUGAUGGGAGUGUUUCCAGGCCUCCUUUCUCUAUGGGUCUUCUCUCAUGUUCCUGUCCUCUCUGAUGGGCGUGUUUCCAGGCCUCCUUUCUCUAUGGGUCUUCUCUCAUGUUCCUGUCCUCUCUGAUGGGCGUGUUUCCAGGCCUCCUUUCUCUAUGGGUCUUCUCUCAUGUUCCUGUCCUCUCUGAUGGGCGUGUUUCCAGGCCUCCUUUCUCUAUGGGUCUUCUCUCAUGUUCCUGUCCUCUCUGAUGGGCGUGUUUCCAGGCCUCCUUUCUCUAUGGGUCUUCUCUCAUGUUCCUGUCCUCUCUGAUGGGCGUGUUUCCAGGCCUCCUUUCUCUAUGGGUCUUCUCUCAUGUUCCUGUCCUCUCUGAUGGGCGUGUUUCCAGGCCUCCUUUCUCUAUGGGUCUUCUCUCAUGUUCCUGUCCUCUCUGAUGGGCGUGUUUCCAGGCCUCCUUUCUCUAUGGGUCUUCUCUCAUGUUCCUGUCCUCUCUGAUGGGCGUGUUUCCAGGCCUCCUUUCUCUAUGGGUCUUCUCUCAUGUUCCUGUCCUCUCUGAUGGGCGUGUUUCCAGGCCUC